Molecule: ribosomal RNA, 244 nt
Filed under: Gordonia sp. UCD-TK1
Lineage: Bacteria; Bacillati; Actinomycetota; Actinomycetes; Mycobacteriales; Gordoniaceae
Description: partial 23S ribosomal RNA
Rfam family: Bacterial large subunit ribosomal RNA
Source: RNAcentral
GGACCGGGACGGACGAACCUCUGGUGUGCCAGUUGUCCCGCCAGGGGCACUGCUGGUUAGCUACGUUCGGAAGGGAUAACCGCUGAAAGCAUCUAAGCGGGAAGCCUGUUCCAAGAUGAGGUUUCUCACCCCCUUCGCGGGGUUAAGGCCCCCCACAGACCAUGGGGUUGAUAGGCCAGAACUGUACGCACAGCAAUGUGUUCAGGUGACUGGUACUAAUCGGCCGAGGACUUACCAACAACAC